This 305-nucleotide ribosomal RNA is filed under the name uncultured bacterium. RNAcentral describes it as "partial 16S ribosomal RNA". It matches the Rfam family "Bacterial small subunit ribosomal RNA", at positions 508 to 809 of the family's 1533-position model. The record is from RNAcentral.
ACAGCAGUCGCCGCGGGAAUACAGAGGGUGCGAGCGUUAAUCGGAUUUACUGGGCGUAAAGCGUGCGUAGGCGGCUUUUUAAGUCGGAUGUGGAAUCCCCGAGCUUAACUUGGGAAUUGCAUUCGAUACUGGGAAGCUAGAGUAUGGGAGAGGAUGGUAGAAUUCCAGGUGUAGCGGUGAAAUGCGUAGAGAUCUGGAGGAAUACCGAUGGCGAAGGCAGCCAUCUGGCCUAAUACUGACGCUGAGGUACGAAAGCAUGGGGAGCAAACAGGAUUAGAGACCCCAGUAGUCCCUGUCUCUUAUAU